This 74-nucleotide transfer RNA is filed under the name Marmota monax (woodchuck). RNAcentral describes it as "tRNA.Ala". Lineage: Eukaryota; Metazoa; Chordata; Mammalia; Rodentia; Sciuridae. The record is from RNAcentral.
GAGGAUGUGGCUCCAUGGUAGAGUGCCUGCCUAGCACAGCAAGGCCUGGCUGGGUUCAAUACCCAGCACCCACU